UGAUUGCAGGACACACUGAGCACUUACUCUUUGAACGCACAUUGCGGCCUCGGGCCUUCCCGUGGCUUCGUCUGUGUGAGGGUCGGAUCAUAUAUCAAGAGAGGAGAAUUUGUUUUCUACCUCGUUUUGACUGUGUCGGAUCGUGGGCAGCACGCAUUUUUAUGCUUUCUUGCGUUGCGUCUUCUCUUGUUUUUCGGAGCAAGUACAGAGGGAGCAAAUGCACGAGUCGUGCGAUGCACGCGUGCGCUGACGAGGAGUCUUCCUCCUACCUGGUUUUAUCGAACACUGCAUGGAAAACGGAAACUCGAUGGAGACUGGUUGUGGAAGUCCCGAAAUCUUUCGCACGUUGAACGGCGCUUCGUGACGUCGGUGCGUUGGAAUGCGGAGACUGAAACGGUUUCUUUCGAUCGAUUCUGUUUUCUUUUGGCGUGGAUGUUGUUCGAAGCCUAAAUGGACGGAUGUACAGAGUUCGUCGGCGCGUUGAAACGCGGCGUCCGCUGUGGAAUCUCGUGGCGUUGAUUUGCACACUUCUUGCGUGGAAAGAAAACGAGAAAGACGUUUCUGGGAGGAAAGUUUUUUUUGCGUCGUAGCCUUCCGUCAGUCUAAGACCUUCGCGUCCCCGAUGAAUACUGGAGCCAUCCAGUAGGGGAAUGCCGUUGGAUUGCGAGCUUUCUUUUUUGUCAAAUCGAAAGCGAUGCAAAGCGUGUGUACACGACUUUACUCUCUUUUGCCAUCCUUUUUACAUUUUGUAGGGUAAGGAGGCAGAGAAUAGAGUUUGUUGGAAAGCGCAACCAUAUCCAAAAUGUCGACCUCACAUCAGGCGAGACAACCCGCUGAAUUUAAGCAUAUCACUAAGCGGAGGAAAAGAAACCAACAGGGAUUCCCUUAGUAGCGGCGAGCGAAACGGGACCUAGCCCAGCACCGAUUCCCCUCGGU
This 936-nucleotide ribosomal RNA is filed under the name Ixodes persulcatus (taiga tick). Its description in RNAcentral is "eukaryotic LSU rRNA". The stretch from base 807 to 936 matches the Rfam family "Eukaryotic large subunit ribosomal RNA", at positions 1 to 129 of the family's 3401-position model. The record is from RNAcentral. Lineage: Eukaryota; Metazoa; Arthropoda; Arachnida; Ixodida; Ixodidae.